GGCUUUUUGAAUAUAAUUUAAGGUCGGGCCUGCCCAAUGAUGAAAUUAAAUGGCCGCGGUAUAUUGACCGUGCAAAGGUAGCAUAAUCAUUAGUUUUUUAAUUGAAAGCUUGUAUGAAAGGUUUGAUGAGAAAAAUACUGUCUCUAUUUAAAUUUAUUGGAAUUUUAUAUUUAAGUUAAAAAGCUUAAAUAUGUAUUGAAGACGAGAAGACCCUAUAGAGUUUUAUAUUUUGUUUUAUAAUGUAUUAUUAAGAAUUUUAAAGAUUUAUUUAACAAAAUAUUUAAUUGGGGUGAUUAAAAAAUUAAUAAAACUUUUUUUUGCAUUUUUACAUUGAUAAAUGAAUAAUUGAUCCUUUAUUUAAGAUUAAAAGAUAAAAUUACCUUAGGGAUAACAGCGUAAUUUUUUUUAGAGUUCUUAUCGAAAAGAAAGAUUGCGACCUCGAUGUUGGAUUAAAAUUAAUUAUUGGUGAAGAGGCUAAUAGAUUGGGUCUGUUCGACCCUUAAAUUUUUACAUGAUCUGAGUUUAAACCGGUGUAAG
This 537-nucleotide ribosomal RNA is filed under the name Acalles pilula. RNAcentral describes it as "partial 16S ribosomal RNA". It matches the Rfam family "Bacterial large subunit ribosomal RNA", at positions 1819 to 2625 of the family's 2925-position model. The record is from RNAcentral. Lineage: Eukaryota; Metazoa; Arthropoda; Insecta; Coleoptera; Curculionidae.